ACGGGAGGCAGCAGUGGGGAAUAUUGCACAAUGGGGGAAACCCUGAUGCAGCGACGCCGCGUGAGUGAAGAAGUAUUUCGGUAUGUAAAGCUCUAUCAGCAGGAAAGAAAAUGACGGUACCUGACUAAGAAGCCCCGGCUAACUACGUGCCAGCAGCCGCGGUAAUACGUAGGGGGCAAGCGUUAUCCGGAUUUACUGGGUGUAAAGGGAACGUAGACGGUAAGGCAAGUCUGAAGUGAAAUGCCAGGGCUCAACCCUGGAACUGCUUUGGAAACUGUCCUACUAGAGUGCAGGAGAGGUAAGUGGAAUUCCUAGUGUAGCGGUGAAAUGCGUAGAUAUUAGGAGGAACACCAGUGGCGAAGGCGGCUUACUGGACUGUAACUGACGUUGAGGCUCGAAAGCGUGGGGAGCAAACAGGAUUAGAUACCCUGGUA
This 434-nucleotide ribosomal RNA is filed under the name uncultured Lachnospiraceae bacterium. Its description in RNAcentral is "partial 16S ribosomal RNA". It matches the Rfam family "Bacterial small subunit ribosomal RNA", at positions 341 to 792 of the family's 1533-position model. Lineage: Bacteria; Bacillati; Bacillota; Clostridia; Lachnospirales; Lachnospiraceae. The record is from RNAcentral.